GGAUUAGAUACCCUGGUAGUCCACGCCGUAAACGAUGUCUACUAGCCGUUGGGAGGCUUGACCUUUUAGUGGCGCAGCUAACGCGAUAAGUAGACCGCCUGGGGAGUACGGUCGCAAGAUUAAAACUCAAAUGAAUUGACGGGGGCCCGCACAAGCGGUGGAGCAUGUGGUUUAAUUCGAUGCAACGCGAAAAACCUUACCAGGCCUUGACAUCCAGAGAACUUACCAGAGAUGGUUUGGUGCCUUCGGGAACUCUGUGACAGGUGUUGCAUGGCUGUCGUCAGCUCGUGUUG
RNAcentral lists this ribosomal RNA (293 nucleotides) under uncultured bacterium. RNAcentral's name for it is "partial 16S ribosomal RNA". It matches the Rfam family "Bacterial small subunit ribosomal RNA", at positions 775 to 1067 of the family's 1533-position model. The record is from RNAcentral.